AUCGCUUCUCGGCCUUUUGGCUAAGAUCAAGUGUAGUACAAAUAUUUCCUGCCAGUCUGUGGUUCAUCUUUUCAUUUUUUUAAAAAUUAAAGUUCUUUCUGAAGGACCUUUU
Molecule: small nuclear RNA, 112 nt
Filed under: Ailuropoda melanoleuca (giant panda)
Lineage: Eukaryota; Metazoa; Chordata; Mammalia; Carnivora; Ursidae
Description: U2 spliceosomal RNA (ENSAMEG00000027982.1)
Rfam family: U2 spliceosomal RNA
About the family: U2 is a small nuclear RNA (snRNA) component of the spliceosome (involved in pre-mRNA splicing). Complementary binding between U2 snRNA (in an area lying towards the 5' end but 3' to hairpin I) and the branchpoint sequence (BPS) of the intron results the bulging out of an unpaired adenosine, on the BPS, which initiates a nucleophilic attack at the intronic 5' splice site, thus starting the first of two transesterification reactions that mediate splicing.
Source: Rfam by way of RNAcentral